Molecule: ribosomal RNA, 496 nt
Filed under: uncultured bacterium
Lineage: Bacteria
Description: partial 16S ribosomal RNA
Rfam family: Bacterial small subunit ribosomal RNA
Source: RNAcentral
GAUGAACGCUGGCGGCGUGCCUAAUACAUGCAAGUCGAGCGAACAGACGAGGAGCUUGCUCCUCUGACGUUAGCGGCGGACGGGUGAGUAACACGUGGAUAACCUACCUAUAAGACUGGGAUAACUUCGGGAAACCGGAGCUAAUACCGGAUAAUAUAUUGAACCGCAUGGUUCAAUAGUGAAAGACGGUUUUGCUGUCACUUAUAGAUGGAUCCGCGCCGCAUUAGCUAGUUGGUAAGGUAACGGCUUACCAAGGCAACGAUGCGUAGCCGACCUGAGAGGGGGAUCGGCCACCCGGGAACUGAGACACGGCCCAGACCCCUACGGGGGGCAGCAGUAGGGAAUUUUCCGCAAUGGGCGAAAGCUUGACGGAGCAACCCCGCGUGGGUGAUGAAGUUCUUCGGAUCGUAAAACUCUGUUAUUAGGGAAAAAAAAAUGUGUAAGUAACUAUGCACGUCUUGACGGUACCAAAGCAGAAAGCCCCGGCUAACUACGU